Sarcophilus harrisii (Tasmanian devil) is the source of this 168-nucleotide small nuclear RNA. Its record names the gene U2. It matches the Rfam family "U2 spliceosomal RNA". Rfam says of the family: U2 is a small nuclear RNA (snRNA) component of the spliceosome (involved in pre-mRNA splicing). Complementary binding between U2 snRNA (in an area lying towards the 5' end but 3' to hairpin I) and the branchpoint sequence (BPS) of the intron results the bulging out of an unpaired adenosine, on the BPS, which initiates a nucleophilic attack at the intronic 5' splice site, thus starting the first of two transesterification reactions that mediate splicing. Lineage: Eukaryota; Metazoa; Chordata; Mammalia; Dasyuromorphia; Dasyuridae. The record is from Ensembl.
ACCAUUUCUUGGCCUUUUGGCUAACAUCAUGUGUUGUAUCUAUUCUUAUCAGUUUAGUAUGGGAUGCACUAUCUAUCUGAGGGCAAUGUAAGACAUUCAAUAAAAGCUUGUUGAUUGAUAGAUUAUGGAUUUUUGAUUGAUUGAUGAAUUCACUUCAGAAGACUCUUU